AGCAGCGUGGCGUAGUGGUAAGGAGCAGGGCUUGUAACCAAAAGGUUGCUGGUUCGAUUCCCCACUGUGG
Megalops atlanticus (tarpon) is the source of this 70-nucleotide non-coding RNA. The record is from the annotation of a GenBank genome assembly. Lineage: Eukaryota; Metazoa; Chordata; Actinopteri; Elopiformes; Megalopidae.